CGGAGCGUAGCGCAGCCUGGUAGCGCACUUGCUUCGGGAGCAAGGGGUCGCGAGUUCAAAUCUCGCCGCUCCGACCA
RNAcentral lists this transfer RNA (77 nucleotides) under Hyphomicrobiales bacterium. RNAcentral's name for it is "Rhizobiales bacterium (sediment metagenome) tRNA-Pro". It matches the Rfam family "tRNA". Rfam says of the family: Transfer RNA (tRNA) molecules are approximately 80 nucleotides in length. Their secondary structure includes four short double-helical elements and three loops (D, anti-codon, and T loops). The record is from RNAcentral. Lineage: Bacteria; Pseudomonadati; Pseudomonadota; Alphaproteobacteria; Hyphomicrobiales. RNAcentral also lists the same sequence under 2 other names.